UCAAACAGGUUAUACCUGUGUAAUGUAAGACGUAGUUUGAAAGCAUGAAAUAGGUCAGAGUGCGUGUAAUACAAAGUAGAUAGGUGUUUCCUUCAGUAAACUUAAAUGAUAAAUUGAAAUUCGAAUUAUUGAGAAUAUUAUUGUUUUAUUAAGAGGAUUUUACAGUUCUGUAGGAGUGUUAAUUGUUUGGAUAGUUAGGAUCUUGAACAGAAUUAAAGAUGUGGGUAAGAUUAUUGAUAUUGGUGAAGAUGUUGGCGUUAGUUUAUACUUUAAACCAAUUCGUCGUUGACAGCGAUACGGUGAACCAACCCGUAGAUAGCGAUACUGUGAACAUCGAUGAUUUAAAACAAUUCGUAGAUAUCGAUACGGUGAACCAACCCUCAGAUGAUGAGAUAUACAAUCCGCCAUUUGUAGGUACCAAUUGGUUAAUAGAUCUAUGGUGUAUUUAUAACCAGCAAAAAGGAAUAUACCCCAUACCUCGCUACUGUAAUUUGAAGCAACAAAUUUAAAAACACACGGAAUUGUUCACCACAGAUUAAGAUUGCACUUUGUACGCCCUUUGUUGUUUUUUUAAAUGCAGGAGGCGCCAUUUGCAUUUUCGCUAAAAUAUCGAGUUUCCAACGACUGUACUCAUCUUGAUUAUUUGACAUUUACUUAAGAAAACAAAAUCAAAAUAUCAACGCUAGAUAAAUCUCAUCGCUUGGAUUAACCCGGAUUUAAACUAAGCCAAGUAUGUUUCUCAACUACCAUGGGAAUAAAAGAUGGCGGCGUCUUGUUACACUCGAUGAAAAUACAUUUUAUCAUAACUCUAUAAAUACUGGACGGAAUUGAUUUAUUACUAGGCUGAUGAUAUUCCUAGGCUGAUGAUAUUCCUAUUAGAGAUUAAAUGUUCAAAGAGUUGCAAGGGAUUCCUAUAGCGCAUCGAGUCUUUUAUAUUUAGCAAAAACGAACAAUGCAAGGAUCGAUUUCAAAUGUUGUCGAUCAUUUGAUUAUCCUGCUUGGCGUCUAUAG
Patella vulgata (common limpet) is the source of this 1011-nucleotide long non-coding RNA. RefSeq lists it as uncharacterized. The record is from RefSeq and is a predicted model, not a curated record. The transcript has 3 exons. NCBI's taxonomy places the organism in Eukaryota, Metazoa, Mollusca, Gastropoda, Patellidae.